RNAcentral lists this ribosomal RNA (497 nucleotides) under uncultured bacterium. Its description in RNAcentral is "partial 16S ribosomal RNA". It matches the Rfam family "Bacterial small subunit ribosomal RNA", at positions 28 to 507 of the family's 1533-position model. The record is from RNAcentral.
GAUGAACGCUGGCGGCGUGCCUAAUACAUGCAAGUCGAGCGAACAGAUGAGGAGCUUGCUCCUCUGACGUUAGCGGCGGACGGGUGAGUAACACGUGGAUAACCUACCUAUAAGACUGGGAUAACUUCGGGAAACCGGAGCUAAUACCGGAUAAUAUAUUGAACCGCAUGGUUCAAUAGUGAAAGACGGUUUUGCUGUCACUUAUAGAUGGAUCCGCGCCGCAUUAGCUAGUUGGUAAGGUAACGGCUUACCAAGGCAACGAUGCGUAGCCGACCUGAGAGGGUGAUCGGCCACACUGGAACUGAGACACGGUCCAGACUCAUACGGGAGGCAGCAGUAGGGAAUCUUCCGCAAUGGGCGAAAGCCUGACGGAGCAACGCCGCGUGAGUGAUGAAGGUCUUCGGAUCGUAAAACUCUGUUAUUAGGGAAGAACAAAUGUGUAAGUAACUAUGCACGUCUUGACGGUACCUAAUCAGAAAGCCACGGCUAACUACGUG